AUACGGAGGGUGCAAGCGUUGUUCGGAAUUACUGGACGUAAAGCGCGUGCAGGCGGUAAGGUAAGUCAGAUGUGAAAGCCCCGGGCUCAACCCGGGAAGUGCAUUUGAUACUGCCUUUCUUGAGUAUGGGAGAGGAGAGUGGAAUUCCCAGUGUAGAGGUGAAAUUCGUAGAUAGUGGGAGGAACACCCGUGGCGAAGGCGACUCUCUGGACCAAUACUGACGCUGAGACGCGAAAGCGUGGGGAGCGAACAGGAUUAGAAACCCCGGUAGUCC
RNAcentral lists this ribosomal RNA (274 nucleotides) under uncultured bacterium. RNAcentral describes it as "partial 16S ribosomal RNA". It matches the Rfam family "Bacterial small subunit ribosomal RNA", at positions 523 to 796 of the family's 1533-position model. The record is from RNAcentral.